RNAcentral lists this ribosomal RNA (497 nucleotides) under uncultured bacterium. RNAcentral describes it as "partial 16S ribosomal RNA". It matches the Rfam family "Bacterial small subunit ribosomal RNA", at positions 899 to 1397 of the family's 1533-position model. The record is from RNAcentral.
ACUCAAAGGAAUUGACGGGGGCCCGCACAAGCGGCGGAGCAUGUGGCUUAAUUCGAAGCGACGCGAAGAACCUUACCUGGGCUUGACAUGCAGGGAAAAGCCGUAGAGAUACGGUGUCCUUCGGGGCCUUGCACAGGUGGUGCAUGGCUGUCGUCAGCUCGUGUCGUGAGAUGUUGGGUUAAGUCCCGCAACGAGCGCAACCCUUGUCCUAUGUUGCCAGCGGGUAAUGCCGGGGACUCGUAGGAGACUGCCGGGGUCAACUCGGAGGAAGGUGGGGACGACGUCAAGUCAUCAUGCCCCUUACGUCCAGGGCUGCACACAUGCUACAAUGGCCGGCACAGAGGGAUGCGAUUCUGCGAAGAUGAGCGAAUCCCAAAAAACCGGUCUCAGUUCGGAUCGCAGUCUGCAACUCGACUGCGUGAAGUCGGAGUCGCUAGUAAUCCCGGAUCAGCAACGCCGGGGUGAAUACGUUCCCGGGCCUUGUACACACCGCCCGU